GGCCUUAUAUUCAUUGAUGAUAAUGGAAUGCAAUUCUAUAGGAGUAGUUUAAAGCACUACUAAGGCUU
Molecule: transfer RNA, 68 nt
Filed under: Symploce pallens
Lineage: Eukaryota; Metazoa; Arthropoda; Insecta; Blattodea; Blattellidae
Description: tRNA-Cys
Source: RNAcentral